Molecule: long non-coding RNA, 896 nt
Organism: Ceratitis capitata (Mediterranean fruit fly)
Lineage: Eukaryota; Metazoa; Arthropoda; Insecta; Diptera; Tephritidae
Exons: 2
Source: RefSeq, a predicted model, not a curated record
ACAAAUAAAAAAUAAAUGUUUGUAUUUAAAUAUAGAAAUAUAUGUAGAUUCAUUUAUCUAUAUAAUUGGCGAUCCUGCUCAUCGAAUUUCGUUCAAGCUAACAAAUAAUUUUACCGAAUUCUACGGUUAUCUUGAACGUGAAACAACAGUUGCGGUAACAUUGACGCAUCGAGGCAAUACAAUAACAAAUAUUAGAUUUCAAUUUAAUUUGGCAAUUCUCCAGAGCAAAUAUAAACAUUUAAAUAUAGCGAUUUAUUGAAAGAAAAAUAAAUUUUAAACAUUGUAAAAAUCCGUGUAUAGAAUUCAAAAUCAUUUAUGUAUACGGGAUUAAAUUUUUUAAAGGAAAAAGACACGCAUUUAAAAGUUGAAAAUCGAUAAAAUAUUUAAUCCAAGAUAUCAUCAAUUGUCUGCACUGAUUUCUCUUUAUCAAUUCUAUGAGAGUGAAGUCAAUUCAAUUUCAAGUGAUUGAGAACAGCAUGGAGGGUCUGUGGAAAGAGUCUGUGAGGAAAGUAAAAUUUCCAGUUAACAAAAAAACCGAAUUCCAGUAAGAGAUUCCUUUGGCUGUUGCGUUGAUUAAUACGAAAUAAUUCUAUAAAAUGCCGUUGUUUGAGAGAUCGAGUGUAGAUAAUGCAGGACAAUAACAUACAUUUAUAUGUCUAUAUGUUUCAAAAAAAAAAUAAUAAUAUGCUUGUCUAAUUUUUGGGAGCAAAGCUGAGGUGAUAACAAUUUUAUUUCAAAAAAACCACAAAAUUACUAUGGUCUCCUGAAAGCUGCAAAACGUAUUAAGGUUUUAAUCAAAAUUGAAUAUAAAUUAUAUUAAUAUAAUUGUAGUUUUGUGUCUCGAUGUUUUUCCAAUAAAUGGAAGGAGCUAUAGUUUAAACUAAGCCUCCUCUGAA